GCUGCUUCUCGGCCUUUUGGCUAAGAUCAAGUGUAGUAUCUUCUCUGUGUCCUUUUACUCAGCAUAUUCUACUUUUUUGAUGCCAGUGGCAGUGCCGUUUCAGAGGAGAUGUUUUUACACAACUGGGUCUAAUGAUGUUGGGCUUCUGUGAGCAGCCAAGGCAACAUCUGUCCUGAUUUGCAU
Molecule: small nuclear RNA, 183 nt
Organism: Eublepharis macularius
Lineage: Eukaryota; Metazoa; Chordata; Lepidosauria; Squamata; Eublepharidae
Product: U2 spliceosomal RNA
Exons: 1
Source: RefSeq, a predicted model, not a curated record